Long non-coding RNA from Dreissena polymorpha, 363 nucleotides. RefSeq lists it as uncharacterized. Lineage: Eukaryota; Metazoa; Mollusca; Bivalvia; Myida; Dreissenidae. The record is from RefSeq and is a predicted model, not a curated record. The transcript is spliced from 2 exons.
GUUGCAUGAUCACGUGACUUAGUGUGUUUCACAAUUAAACGUGAAUGGAUGUAAACACGCCGCCCGUGUUUAAACAUCUGAAAACCCCGUUGAUCCUGCACCCUUGUUUAACGUGAACGAUCCUGCUAAAGUAACGAACAUACUCCUAUCAAUAGAAAAAAACACGACAGACAAGAUUAACACGAUCAAAGUGGCAAAAACAGAGGGGAAUACAUGUACAUUUUUUCAGCAGCUAUAGAACUAUGUGUUUUAACUUAAAACAAUCUACCCUAAUGUUUAUGACCAUUAUUUUGCCUAAUUUUGGCAAAAAUUAAUUAUGCAUUUCUAUGUCAUUUAAACCCAAUACACACAAGUAUGAACGAU